CUGACAGCCUAUGAGACUGAAGUUCUCUGUCUCGCCACAGAACAGGAACAGUUUAGGCAGCAGCAGUGCUGAUUUCCUCAUACUGCCUUCCAACAUGCCUCACAUCUGACCAGGAAGUGGCCACCUAGAAGGGUGAGAAUUGAAAAUAGUUAAUUUUCCAUAAUCAGUUACGAUGUGGCUUUU
Molecule: unclassified non-coding RNA, 183 nt
Organism: Chelonoidis abingdonii (Abingdon island giant tortoise)
Lineage: Eukaryota; Metazoa; Chordata; Testudines; Testudinidae
Source: Ensembl